Molecule: ribosomal RNA, 465 nt
Filed under: Vreelandella stevensii
Lineage: Bacteria; Pseudomonadati; Pseudomonadota; Gammaproteobacteria; Oceanospirillales; Halomonadaceae
Description: partial 16S ribosomal RNA
Rfam family: Bacterial small subunit ribosomal RNA
Source: RNAcentral
CCUACGGGAGGCUGCAGUGGGGAAUAUUGGACAAUGGGGGGAACCCUGAUCCAGCCAUGCCGCGUGUGUGAAGAAGGCCCUCGGGUUGUAAAGCACUUUCAGUGAGGAAGAACGCCUGGUGGUUAAUACCCAUCAGGAAAGACAUCACUCACAGAAGAAGCACCGGCUAACUCCGUGCCAGCAGCCGCGGUAAUACGGAGGGUGCGAGCGUUAAUCGGAAUUACUGAGCGUAAAGCGCGCGUAGGUGGCUUGAUAAGCCGGUUGUGAAAGCCCCGGGCUCAACCUGGGAACGGCAUCCGGAACUGUCAAGCUAGAGUGCAGGAGAGGAAGGUAGAAUUCCCGGUGUAGCGGUGAAAUGCGUAGAGAUCGGGAGGAAUACCAGUGGCGAAGGCGGCCUUCUGGACUGACACUGACACUGAGGUGCGAAAGCGUGGGUAGCAAACAGGAUUAGAUACCCUUGUAGUC